RNAcentral lists this transfer RNA (74 nucleotides) under Planctomycetota bacterium. RNAcentral describes it as "Planctomycetes bacterium (anaerobic digester metagenome) tRNA-Val". It matches the Rfam family "tRNA". Rfam says of the family: Transfer RNA (tRNA) molecules are approximately 80 nucleotides in length. Their secondary structure includes four short double-helical elements and three loops (D, anti-codon, and T loops). Lineage: Bacteria; Pseudomonadati; Planctomycetota. The record is from RNAcentral.
GGGCGUAUAGCUCAGUUGGCUAGAGCGUACGGAUCACACCCGUAAGGUCGCAGGUUCGAGUCCUGCUACGCCCA